CGGGGUUUAGCGCAGUUGGUAGCGCGCGUGCUUUGGGAGCAUGAGGCCGGGAGUUCGAGUCUCCCAACUCCGACCA
Molecule: transfer RNA, 76 nt
Filed under: Oscillospiraceae bacterium
Lineage: Bacteria; Bacillati; Bacillota; Clostridia; Eubacteriales; Oscillospiraceae
Description: tRNA-Pro
Rfam family: tRNA
About the family: Transfer RNA (tRNA) molecules are approximately 80 nucleotides in length.
Source: RNAcentral